Molecule: ribosomal RNA, 1573 nt
Filed under: Coendou insidiosus
Lineage: Eukaryota; Metazoa; Chordata; Mammalia; Rodentia; Erethizontidae
Description: 16S ribosomal RNA
Rfam family: Bacterial large subunit ribosomal RNA
Source: RNAcentral
ACUAAUUCUAGCCCUAAAUUCUCUAAACAAAACUAUUUCUAAAGUAUUAAAUAAAACAUUCAAUUUCUAAAGUAUAGGAGAUAGAAAUUUUCUUCUUGGCGCUAUAGAAAAAGUACCGCAAGGGAAAGAUGAAAGAAUAUAUUAAUAGUAUAAAAUAGCAUAGAUUACCUCUAUUACCUUUUGCAUAAUGGGUUAACUAGAAAUAUAUUGACAAAGAGAACUUAGCCAAUUACCCCGAAGCCAAACGAGCUACUUCCGAACAGCUAGUAGAGCGAACUCGUCUAUGUAGCAAAAUAGUGAGAAGAUUUAGAAGUAGAGGUGAAAAACCAAUCGAGUUUGGAGAUAGCUGGUUAUCCAAAUAAGAAUUUUAGUUCAGCUAUAAGCUUUUCCUAAAACCCUAUAAUUCUAAUGAAAACUUAUAUGCUAAUUUAAAGAGGGACAGCUCUUUAAAAAAGGAAACAACCUUCAGCAGUGGAUAAGUUAAUUUAAAUAAACAUAGUUGGCUUAAAAGCAGCCAUCAAUUGAGAAAGCGUUCAAGCUCAAUAAUAAAUUUCACAACCUAAUUCCAAUAGAUUUUAACAACUCCCUGCUUUAACAAUUGGAUUAAUCUAUAAGUUUAUAGAAGAGAUAAUGUUAAUAUUAGUAACAAGAAUUAUUUCUCCUUGCACAAGCUUACAUCAAAUACAUAUUAACUAUUUGAUUAUUAACAAUUCAAUAAAAUAAAACAACUUAUUAGUUACUUAUUACAAAUAUUGUUAACCCAACGCAGGAGUGCAACAAGGAAAGACUAAAAGAAGCAAAAGGAACUCGGCAAACACAAAUCCCGCCUGUUUACCAAAAACAUCACCUCUAGCAUCACAAGUAUUAGAGGCACCGCCUGCCCAGUGACGAACAACGGUUCAACGGCCGCGGUAUCCUGACCGUGCAAAGGUAGCAUAAUCACUUGUUCUUUAAAUAAGGACCUGUAUGAAUGGCUAGACGAGGAUUCAACUGUCUCUUGCUUCCAGUCAGUGAAAUUGACCUUCCCGUGAAGAGGCGGGGCUAAACAAAUAAGACGAGAAGACCCUAUGGAGCUUUAAUUAAAUAACUCACUUUGCAUAAACCAAAUUCACCAGAAUAUAAAAAUUAAAUCCUGAGUUAUCAAUUUUGGUUGGGGUGACCUCGGAGAAAAACAAAACCUCCGAAUGAUAUUAGUUAAGACCCAACAAGUCAAAACUUUAUAUCACAAUUGACCCAAUUACAUUUGAACAACGAACCAAGUUACCCUAGGGAUAACAGCGCAAUCCUAUUUAAGAGUUCAUAUCGACAAUAGGGUUUACGACCUCGAUGUUGGAUCAGGACAUCCUAAUGGUGCAGCAGCUAUUAAUGGUUCGUUUGUUCAACGAUUAAAGUCCUACGUGAUCUGAGUUCAGACCGGAGUAAUCCAGGUCGGUUUCUAUCUAUUCUUAAAUUUCUCCCAGUACGAAAGGACAAGAGAAGUGGGGCCAAUUAAUCAAUAAUGCCCUAAUAAUUAAAAGAUGAUAUAAUAUAAAUCUACUUAUUAUUUAAUUUAAAUUACCCUAGACAAGGGAUU